This 1058-nucleotide long non-coding RNA is filed under the name Chinchilla lanigera (long-tailed chinchilla). RNAcentral describes it as "lncRNA (ENSCLAG00000029046.1)". Lineage: Eukaryota; Metazoa; Chordata; Mammalia; Rodentia; Chinchillidae. The record is from RNAcentral.
AUUUUAUUCGUAAGACAACCCCAUAAUGUGGACAGACAUCCCAUCUCGGCACACAACCCAUGAGUGUGCAGGGACACCCCUGGAGGUGACUCUUCAGAGGUCUUGAUGAAGAGGUCAGCUACCAAAGUGCAGGCAGAGUUGGGAGCUCAGCUGGGCACUCAGCUGCAGCAGGUCAUCACCUACAGAUCUGUGUGCAAGACCUGAUACCCCAGAAGAUCUGCAGUCAUAAAAGAAACCAAGGCCGGGAUAUAGCUCAGCGGCAAAGCGCCUGCCUGGCAAGUGCAAGGUCGUGAGUUCUAUUCCUGGUACAAAAAAAAGAAAGGAAAAAAGAAACCUAGAACACCAAGGAGGCAGGAAAGUUGGGGGUUAAAGUUACUCGGCCUCUCUCCUCUUCCUUGCCAGUUCUUCUCAUCGUUCAACCCUGAUCAGAGUCCAGAGGGCGGACGGGGCCCCGAUGGUGACACAAUCCUUAGGGUCACCCUACCGCCCAGGGCACACUAAGAGGGGCAGAGAAUGGACCGGGGAAGCAGGCACUUUGCACUUGUUACUAAAAUGAGUAAUAUCGUCUCUGCGGCAGCUCCUUCAAACUACAUACACUGUGCGCAAGUACUACCUGAGGAGCUAAGCUCUUCUACAAAUGCAGGUGCCAGGGCCGCUCGCAGAGAAUGGGUGCAAUGCCAGAUGCUGCUCUUGCAUGUCUGCACCGUGGAGGGGAAACAAUGGAUUCUUCCAAGUGCACAGGAGCCUGCAGAUGCUAUGCUUGCCUGGAGCCAAGGUCAUGAUGUUCUCCAGGUUGCACGCCCACCAAAAGCUGCUUCUGCCCCUCACUUCUGCCAAGGCGCCAACGGGCAAGAAGGUUCUCACCAACGUAGUCCCUCAGACUGGGCCUCAGCCUCCAGAUACAUCAGCCAAAUGAACUUCUGUUUGUUAGAAGUGAGGCAGGCUCGGGUGUUCUGCUGUCAGCACAAAUGAGCUGAGAGAACACGCUAAGCCGUUCUGCCCUGCGCUGGGCCACCCCACACGUGCAGGGGAGCAAGGGCGGGCUGGAGUCACCGGAA